AUGCCAGAUUUCAUAGCUUGGAAUUUCACAAAAAAUGGGAUUUUUUUGGUUCGGUCUGCUUAUUUUGUGGAAUGGGACCACCAAUAUGGGAACAAGUUACGACAUACCAAUGGGAUGAGACGUACCACGGUCAAUCCUAUUUGGGCGAGGAUUUGGAAGCUUGCUUGUCCAGCAAAGGUUAAAAUAUUUAUUUGGCGUGCACUUCACGGCACUAUUCCGUGUCGUGUUAACUUAGCUAAUAGACAUGUGAAAGUCUCGCCUAAGUGUCCUGCCUGCUCAUCUGGGCCAGAAGACACAAAACAUUUGUUGUUUCUAUGUGACAGAGCAAAAGAAGUCUGGAGAAGACUAGGGAUGGACGAUAUUAUCGACAGAGCUUGUAAAAUAGACUAUGCGGGUGAGGCAAUCUUGGAAUAUUUACUUCCAUUACCAGAUUAG
RNAcentral lists this ribosomal RNA (435 nucleotides) under Triticum aestivum (bread wheat). RNAcentral's name for it is "partial small subunit ribosomal RNA". The record is from RNAcentral. Lineage: Eukaryota; Viridiplantae; Streptophyta; Magnoliopsida; Poales; Poaceae.